AUUGAACGCUGGCGGCAUGCCUUACACAUGCAAGUCGAACGGCAGCACGGAGCUUGCUCUGGUGGCGAGUGGCGAACGGGUGAGUAAUAUAUCGGAACGUACCCAAGAGUGGGGGAUAACGUAGCGAAAGUUACGCUAAUACCGCAUACGAUCUAAGGAUGAAAGCAGGGGACCUUCGGGCCUUGUGCUCCUGGAGCGGCCGAUAUCUGAUUAGCUAGUUGGUGAGGUAAAGGCUCACCAAGGCAUCGAUCAGUAGCUGGUCUGAGAGGAUGAUCUGCCACACUGGGACUGAGACACGGCCCAGACUCCUACGGGAGGCAGCAGUGGGGAAUUUUGGACAAUGGGGGCAACCCUGAUCCAGCCAUGCCGCGUGAGUGAAGAAGGCCUC
This 388-nucleotide ribosomal RNA is filed under the name uncultured bacterium. RNAcentral describes it as "bacterial SSU rRNA". It matches the Rfam family "Bacterial small subunit ribosomal RNA", at positions 30 to 418 of the family's 1533-position model. The record is from RNAcentral.